AACGAACGCUGGCGGCAUGCCUAACACAUGCAAGUCGAACGAGACCUUCGGGUCUAGUGGCGCACGGGUGCGUAACGCGUGGGAAUCUGCCCUUGGGUUCGGAAUAACAGUUAGAAAUGACUGCUAAUACCGGAUGAUGUCUUCGGACCAAAGAUUUAUCGCCCAAGGAUGAGCCCGCGUAAGAUUAGCUAGUUGGUGAGGUAAUGGCUCACCAAGGCGACGAUUCUAGCUGGUCUGAGAGGAUGAUCAGCCACACUGGGACUGAGACACGGCCCAGACUCCUACGGGAGGCAGCAGUGGGGAAUAUUGGACAAUGGGCGAAAGCCUGAUCCAGCAAUGCCGCGUGAGUGAUGAAGGCC
RNAcentral lists this ribosomal RNA (359 nucleotides) under uncultured bacterium. Its description in RNAcentral is "bacterial SSU rRNA". It matches the Rfam family "Bacterial small subunit ribosomal RNA", at positions 29 to 416 of the family's 1533-position model. The record is from RNAcentral.